This 518-nucleotide ribosomal RNA is filed under the name uncultured bacterium. Its description in RNAcentral is "bacterial SSU rRNA". It matches the Rfam family "Bacterial small subunit ribosomal RNA", at positions 791 to 1314 of the family's 1533-position model. The record is from RNAcentral.
UAGUCCACGCCGUAAACGAUGAUUACUAGCUGUUUGUGAUAGACAAUAAGCGGCAAAGCGAAAGCAUUAAGUAAUCCACCUGGGGAGUACGUUGGCAACAAUGAAACUCAAAGGAAUUGACGGGGGCCCGCACAAGCGGAGGAACAUGUGGUUUAAUUCGAUGAUACGCGGGGAACCUUACCUGGACUUAAAUGUAGAUUGACAGGCUUAGAGAUAGGCUUUUCUUCGGACAAUUUACAAGGUGCUGCAUGGUUGUCGUCAGCUCGUGCCGUGAGGUGUCGGGUUAAGUCCCAUAACGAGCGCAACCCACGUCUUUAGUUACCAGCACGUUAAGGUGGGCACUCUAGAGAGACUGCCGGUGUAAACCGCGAGGAAGGUGUGGAUGACGUCAAAUCAGCACGGCCCUUACGUCCAGGGCUACACACGUGUUACGAAUGGUCGGUACAGAGGGCAGCUACUAUGUGAAUAGAUGCGAAUCUCGAAAACCGGUCUCAGUUCGGAUCGAAGUCUGCAACCCG